This 1607-nucleotide long non-coding RNA is filed under the name Anas platyrhynchos platyrhynchos (common mallard). Its description in RNAcentral is "lncRNA (ENSAPLG00000027131.1)". Lineage: Eukaryota; Metazoa; Chordata; Aves; Anseriformes; Anatidae. The record is from RNAcentral.
CUGCUCGGAAAUCCAUGGGGGCGGCGGCCCGGGGGGUCCUGGCCGCAGGGGGGCUGCGGGGCGGCCGCGCUGCUGCGCCGGGGCCGGGCUGGGAGCUCCCAUUUGGCGGCCCCGCUCCCCGCGGGGAGGGCAGCGAGGGGAGAGGGGCGAGGGGCGAGGGGGCGCGGGGGGCGUGGGGUGCCAGGCUGCCGCCCCGCCGCGGGGCAAGGGGGAGCGAGAGGCGGAGAGAGGCGGCGCAGGCAGACAGACAGACAGGCAGGCAGGCAGGCAGACACACAGACAGACAGAGCGCCGGUGCGGGGCGGGGGGCGGCACGGCCGGACGGCCGGAGGGACGCCGAAUGGCCCCGCCGCCCCGGCCCCGCCGCCCCUCGCCCCGCUCCGUGCUCUUCCGACGGGACUUCUCGGCGCUGCCCCGGGGCCGCGGCAGGUGACCGAGCCCCCGGCGGCGGCGGCAGCGCGGCCGCGGCAUCGCCCUUCCCGGCGCCGUCGGGGGAACCGGUGUCCCCCCUCUUCACCCCCACACCGGCUCCCGGCGGAGCUCCCGGUGCGCGGCUCCCGGUGCGCAUCGCUGCCGUCCUGCCGCCCGUGCCCGGUCGGCCCCGGCCCCGCGCCCCGGGUACCGGCUCCAGUCCCCCGGGUACCGGUCCCAAUCCCCCUGGGACCGUCCCCAAUCCCCCGGGGACCGGCUCCAGUCCUCCGGUACCGGCUCCAAUCCCUCGGGUACCGGCUUCAAUCCCCCUGGGACCGUCCCCAAUCCCCCAGAUACCGGCCCCGCGCCCCGGGGACCGGCCCCAAUUCCCCGGGGACCGGCUCCAGUUCCCCGGGGACCGGCUCCAGUUCCCCGGGGACCGGCCCCGCGCCCCAGGGACCGGCCCCAAUCCUCCGGGUACCGGCCCCAGUGCCCCGGUACCGGCCCCAGUGUCCCGGGGACCGGCCCUAGUCCCCCGGGGACCGGCCCCAGUCGCCAACCGCCCUCGCCCUGCGCAGCCCUCUCCCCCCGGCCCCGGGAGCGGCUGCUCGGGGAUGUUGCGAGGCUGCUGCCAGGCGGCUGGGCUGCGAUCAACCUGCCCCGAGAGGAGCGACCCCGCUGUGCAAAUGGAGGCUGUGGGCUCCCUCAGCGGGCCGGGGGCGCUGGGCUGGACCCCGGGGGCCGAGCACGGUGCAGAGCCCCCCUGGACGGCUCGGCUGGGCGGCUGGACCACCGGGGGGGGGGGAACCAGUGGCCGAAAUGCUCGGGACACGCGGCCAGCCCCUUCCCCUUGCGACCCACAGCGUGUGCCGGGGCAGAGGCGAGCCUCGCGCCCCCUUUUUUUUUGCAGAGGGGGGUUCUGUCAUGCCAAGGGGCGCAGCCCUGCCUGUGCUGGCUCCCCCCAAAAAAAUCAGUGUGUAAAACAAAAGCCCUGCACGGCAGCUGCACAGGAUGGAGGCAGAGGGUGGCUUCACUGGGGCUCAGCACGGAGACACCGCAUCCCCGUAGCAUGCCAAGAGCACCCCAGCCCUAAAUGCAGGGACACCCCCACCCCAAACUGCUCGGAGAGAAACGGCACCGGCACAGGGCUGAGCGCUCAGCGCUCCCGGGGGGCAGCGAAGCAGAGUGGGGCGAGG